This 525-nucleotide unclassified non-coding RNA is filed under the name Hevea brasiliensis (rubber tree). Lineage: Eukaryota; Viridiplantae; Streptophyta; Magnoliopsida; Malpighiales; Euphorbiaceae. The record is from RNAcentral.
AAGCCAUUUUGGUUUGGUUUGCCUACACCUAUAUGCAACUUAAUUUUCUUGUCAUCUGUUUCCCAAAUUUCAUAGAUUUUCUCCACAAAUUUGAAGUGCCAAAAGUGCGAAACCCAUGAAUGAAUAUCCUUAACCAACAUGGUACUUAAGGGUACAAUGAAGUAUAGGAGGUUCUAACUUCUAAUUGCAAAUGCAUGGAUCAAAAUAAUACAUCAUUGACAUGAAAAUCUGUUUUGCAAAGAGAUUCAUACAGUCAUCACUGAACCUUAUUCAAUUCAUUUUACAAGAACAAAGGAAAAGGAUUGACCACAACUGAGUGAUUGAAUCUAGUGAUAUAACAAAUUUUUUUAUGGCCAAAUUGGAUCUUAUCAGAUAAGCUAUCAGUUGACAAGCCAACUUUUAAAAGAAAUCAAACCACAUCUAAUGGCCAUGGCUUUAAUCGCUUAAUCUCUAGUAUAACAAGUUUCAACUGAAGUGCUAAAAAUUAAUGCAAUUACUUACCUUUUUCACUAGCAUAAACAUGUA